UGCAAGUCGAACGGAACGCCAAGGAAAGAGUUUUCGGACAAUGGAAUUGGUUGUUUAGUGGCGGACGGGUGAGUAACGCGUGAGUAACCUGCCUUGGAGUGGGGAAUAACACAGUGAAAACUGUGCUAAUACCGCAUGAUAUAUUGGUGUCGCAUGGCACUGAUAUCAAAGAUUUAUCGCUCUGAGAUGGACUCGCGUCUGAUUAGAUAGUUGGCGGGGUAACGGCCCACCAAGUCGACGAUCAGUAGCCGGACUGAGAGGUUGGCCGGCCACAUUGGGACUGAGACACGGCCCAGACUCCUACGGGAGGCAGCAGUGGGGAAUAUUGGGCAAUGGGCGCAAGCCUGACCCAGCAACGCCGCGUGAAGGAAGAAGGCUUUCGGGUUGUAAACUUCUUUUAACAGGGACGAAGUAAGUGACGGUACCUGUUGAAUAAGCCACGGCUAACUACG
Molecule: ribosomal RNA, 452 nt
Filed under: uncultured bacterium
Lineage: Bacteria
Description: bacterial SSU rRNA
Rfam family: Bacterial small subunit ribosomal RNA
Source: RNAcentral